RNAcentral lists this long non-coding RNA (986 nucleotides) under Mytilus galloprovincialis (Mediterranean mussel). Lineage: Eukaryota; Metazoa; Mollusca; Bivalvia; Mytilida; Mytilidae. The record is from RNAcentral.
GUUGCCGGUUUGUCACCCGUUUGACUAGUAUCAACAUCUAUUUCCGUAGAAGCUGAUGGAAGUUGAUAAAGUCAUGUGGAUUUUUAUGAAUAUGUGAUUUUUUCAAAAUUAACAAUCACGCCAGAAGAAAACCACGUACAACAAUAAAUACACAUAAACAAACUAAACAUACUGUACAGUCUGAUAAAAAGUAAAAUUACUAAGACACUGCACCCCGAGGAAAAUUCAAAACGGAAAGUCCUUAAUCAAAUGGCAAAAUCAAAAGAUAAAACACACCAAACGAAUGGAUAACUUGGUAUAGGCAUUUUCUUAUGUGGAAAAUGGUGGAUUGAAACUGGUUUUAUAGCUAGCUAAACCUCUCACUUUUAUGACAGUCGCAUCGAAUUCCAUUAUAUUGACAAUGAUGCGUUAACAAAACAAACAUACAUACAUGUAUUAAGGGGGUUCGCGGGUCUAAAUCAUUUAUAUAGGAUUUCUCUAUAUUUUUCUAUAAAUGAACUUUAUCUUAUAGUUAUUCGAAAAAUAAAAUAAAAUAAUGGGGUCACCGUUCAUUUGCGCUCACAAUCUGCCUUCGAAAGAAGCAUAAAAGUGUUUUUUUUUCUGUUGAACUAAUAGGAGAAAUAAAGGUAAUACCGAAAUAAAAAAAGAAAUUUAUUACAGAAAUCGCUCAAAUUUUACAAUAAUUUAGUUUAAGUACAGCAUAUAUCAAAAUUAUAUUAAAAAAUAUAGGUCACCGAUGAGUUAAAAGAGAUAUUUCAAUGUUAAAGCCAAAAAAUGGCAUUUUUCACCAAAGGGAGAUAAUUUGGAACUUUUUCAAUGAUGUUUACAUUUUAAAAGUCAUCUGGGGCCAACAAGAAUUUAUUGUGUUGAAUGUUUUUUGUACCAUAUGAUAAAGUAACAACUACAAAAGGUAAUAAAUAAAAUUUGUAAUGAAAAACAAAUGUUUAAUUUUUUUCUGAAAUUUUUAUACCCUCAAGCCUCCUUAA